Molecule: long non-coding RNA, 979 nt
Organism: Erinaceus europaeus (western European hedgehog)
Lineage: Eukaryota; Metazoa; Chordata; Mammalia; Eulipotyphla; Erinaceidae
Exons: 3
Source: RefSeq, a predicted model, not a curated record
AUUCCCCCUUCUGGCUCCCGCCCCCCGGUUUUUCCAGGGGGUUGGGAGCGAGGCGAGGUUGAGGGGGGAGGGGAGGGCCCCGUGGGCAGAGACCAAGUUGAGGCGUCCCGAGCAGUAGUGAAGUUUCUGCUGUGCUGCGCCUUGAGCGGCGGGCUGGGCCCUGGCCGGAGCUCAGCGUGGGGACCGCCGCCCCGGAGCUGGCUGCCAUUGCCCCGGGGGAGCUGGAGGGCGAAGGAUCAGGCGCCAGGUCCCGGAACUUCCCGCAAAGACUGGCAGAGCUGGUGCAGUGUGGCUGUGCAGGGGGCAGGCGGUGGGAGCCACGAGCAAAGGCUGUUUCCACCCUAUUGUUUUAGCCUGGCGUUCAAAGGCACUUGGGCUGCUACAGCCACCUCUGCCAGCCACCACUGCCGCCCACCGGCCCUGCCCAAGGACCAGACCUCAGCCCUGCACUCAGGGGGAACUGGACAAGGUGUGUUCCCCCAACUUCAUGGGGAUCCUUGGAGACCUGUGCUUCUGUCUCUGGGGUCCCCUUCACCCCCCCCUUGAAGGGGAGAUAAUUUAGGGACUGACCAGGGUUGGGGAGAGGGGCAUGCUUGUGUCUGGAUAGAUCUCCCACACCCCAAGAGCCCUCCCUCCUUCCCUAUCACCCAGAGAGAAAAAGUGCUGCAGGGACCGGGCGGAGAGGGUAUCCAGUGCCUCUGGGAGCAGGUUCCAGAGAGCUGGGGAGCUGGGGUCCCCACUGUAAAAACAGGAACUGGAAAAUAGUGCUCAACAACAACAGAAAGGAACUUCACUGUGUUUUGGACGAAAGACCUCAAAGCACCUCCAGCAAACACGCUGAUUCCUUCAAGGAAAAUUAGUGGUGCUACGCACUGUCAGCACCCCUCCCCAAAAAAACCCCAUCUGGGAAAUUCCAAAAGGGAAAAGGGGGGUACUUCUUUUCUUUUGUGGUGAAAUAAUAAAAUGAAAUAAUAACAAA